AUUGAACGCUGGCGGCAUGCCUUACACAUGCAAGUCGAACGGUAACGCGGGGCAACCUGGCGACGAGUGGCGAACGGGUGAGUAAUGCAUCGGAACGUGCCUGGUAGUGGGGGAUAACUGCUCGAAAGAGCAGCUAAUACCGCAUACGACCUGAGGGUGAAAGGGGGGCAGUCGCAAGACCUCUCGCUAUCAGAGCGGCCGAUGUCGGAUUAGCUAGUUGGUGGGGUAAGAGCCCACCAAGGCGACGAUCCGUAGCUGGUCUGAGAGGACGACCAGCCACACUGGGACUGAGACACGGCCCCAGACUCCUACGGGAGGCAGCAGUGGGGAAUUUUGGACAAUGGACGCAAGUCUGAUCCAGCCAUGCCGCGUGCGGGAAGAAGGCCUCGGGUUGUAAACCGCUUUUGUCAGGGAAGAAAUCUUCUGGGCUAAUACCCUGGGAGGAUGACGGUACCUGAAGAAUAAGCACCGGCUAACUACGUGCCAGCAGCCGCGGUAAUACGUAGGGUGCAAGCGUUAAUCGGAAUUACUAGGCGUAAAGCGUGCGCAGGCGGUUAUGCAAGACAGGUGUGAAAUCCCCGAGCUCAACUUGGGAACUGCACUUGUGACUGCAUAGCUAGAGUACGGUAGAGGGGAGUGGAAUUCCGCGUGUAGCAGUGAAAUGCGUAGAUAUGCGGAGGAACACCGAUGGCGAAGGCAGCUCCCUGGACCUGUACUGACGCUCAUGCACGAAAGCGUGGGGAGCAAACAGGAUUAGAUACCC
This 763-nucleotide ribosomal RNA is filed under the name uncultured bacterium. RNAcentral's name for it is "bacterial SSU rRNA". It matches the Rfam family "Bacterial small subunit ribosomal RNA", at positions 28 to 787 of the family's 1533-position model. The record is from RNAcentral.